AGCAUAUCAUAGCGGAGGAAAAGAAACCCAACAGGGAUUGCCCCAGUAACGGCGAGUGAAGCGGCAAGAGCUCAAAUUUGAAAUCUGGCCUCCCUUGGGGGGUCCGAGUUGUAAUUUGUAGAGGAUGCUUCGGGUGUGGCCGCCGUCUAAGUUCCUUGGAACAGGACGUCGUAGAGGGUGAGAAUCCCGUCUUGGGCGGCCGGUCCGCGCCCGUGUGAAGCUCCUUCGACGAGUCGAGUUGUUUGGGAAUGCAGCUCUAAGCGGGUGGUAAAUUUCAUCUAAAGCUAAAUACUGGCCGGAGACCGAUAGCGCACAAGUAGAGUGAUCGAAAGGUUAAAAGCACCUUGAAAAGGGAGUUAAACAGCACGUGAAAUUGUUGAAAGGGAAGCGCUUGCGGCCAGACUCGAGGGGCGGGGUUCAGCGGGUGCGCGUCACCCGUGCACUCCCCGUCCCCCCGGGCCAGCAUCAGUUUCGACGGCCGGUCAAAGGCCCCCGGAAUGUGUCGUCUCUAGGGACGUCUUAUAGCCGGGGGUGCAAUGCGGCCCGCCGGGACUGAGGAACGCGCUCCGGCUCGGAUGCUGGCGUAAUGGCCGUAAGCGGCCCGUCUUGAAACACGGACCAAGGAGUCUAACAUCCACGCGAGUGCUCGGGUGUCAAACCCGUGCGCGCAGUGAAAGCGAACGGAGGUGGGAGCCCUAGGGCGCACCAUCGACCGAUCCUGAAGUCUUCGGAUGGAUUUGAGUAGGAGCGUGGCCGUUGGGACCCGAAAGAUGGUGAACUAUGCCUGAAUAGGGUGAAGCCAGAGGAAACUCUGGUGGAGGCUCGCAGCGGUUCUGACGUGCAAAUCGAUCGUCAAAUUUGGGCAUAGGGGGCGAAAGACUAAUCGAACCAUCUAGUAGCUGGUUCCUGCCG
Molecule: ribosomal RNA, 912 nt
Filed under: Microsporum canis
Lineage: Eukaryota; Fungi; Ascomycota; Eurotiomycetes; Onygenales; Arthrodermataceae
Description: LSU rRNA
Rfam family: Eukaryotic large subunit ribosomal RNA
Source: RNAcentral